This 253-nucleotide ribosomal RNA is filed under the name uncultured bacterium. RNAcentral's name for it is "partial 16S ribosomal RNA". It matches the Rfam family "Bacterial small subunit ribosomal RNA", at positions 524 to 776 of the family's 1533-position model. The record is from RNAcentral.
UACGUAGGGCGCAAGCGUUGUCCGGAAUUAUUGGGCGUAAAGAGCUCGUAGGCGGUUUGUCGCGUCUGCUGUGAAAACCUAAGGCUCAACCUUGGGCUUGCAGUGGGUACGGGCAGACUAGAGUGCGGUAGGGGUGACUGGAAUUCCUGGUGUAGCGGUGAAAUGCGCAGAUAUCAGGAAGAACACCCGUGGCUAAGGCGGCUCUCUAGUACGGUACUGACGCUGAGACGCGAAAGCGUGGGGAGCGAACAGG